This 253-nucleotide ribosomal RNA is filed under the name uncultured Eubacteriales bacterium. Its description in RNAcentral is "uncultured Clostridiales bacterium partial 16S ribosomal RNA". It matches the Rfam family "Bacterial small subunit ribosomal RNA", at positions 524 to 776 of the family's 1533-position model. The record is from RNAcentral. Lineage: Bacteria; Bacillati; Bacillota; Clostridia; Eubacteriales.
UACGUAGGGGGCGAGCGUUAUCCGGAUUCACUGGGCGUAAAGGGAGCGCAGGCGGCACGGCAAGUCCGGUGUGAAAGCCCGGGGCCCAACCCCGGGACUGCUCUGGAAACUGUUAAGCUGGAGUGCGGGAGGGGCGGGCGGAAUUCCUGGUGUAGCGGUGAAAUGCGUAGAUAUCAGGAGGAACACCGGCGGCGAAGGCGGCCUGCUGGACCGUGACUGACGUUGAGGCUCGAAAGCGUGGGGAGCAAACAGG